Long non-coding RNA from Anser brachyrhynchus (Pink-footed goose), 2054 nucleotides. The record is from Ensembl. NCBI's taxonomy places the organism in Eukaryota, Metazoa, Chordata, Aves, Anseriformes, Anatidae.
UGACAUCCCUUUCCUGAUGUGGUAUGUAGUUUAUUUGCUCUUCUUUUUUUGUUCUAGUUUCAUUCACUUGUUCACAGGCCACUCUCUCUUCCCCAUUGUAAUCUAAACAAUCAUCUCUCCUUCUUACGUGGCUAAAUGCCUGAGAAACCUUCCCCUGCUCCAAGACACUGCCCUGAUGGAAGCAUAUAAUCUCCCCACAGAAGCCUGAGCUUUAUUUUCUUUGGCCUUGAGCUGUUCUGAGCAAUCUGAAAAACAGUGGCAUCUGAGCCCCCAUACAAGUGAGCUGCUCAGCCUGCCCCUCUUUGGGACCAACCAAGUGCAAGGACUGGUGCUGUGCUAAAACAUUGUCACAUAAACAAAAAAAAUCUUGGAAGUCAUUUGCAAGUCAGUUUUCUGGCCAAUUGGUCUGGCUGCAUGACUUACAAGUGUUUCUUUUGACAUUUUGUUUGAGAGAAGGUAGGGGCUCCACAUGGAUUUAACAUCACUGUGAAAUGCAAGCUGUGUUCAAAUAAAAUAAUACACUAUGCCUUAGCAAGAAGCUAAACAGCACCAGUCUGGCAGCUCUCCAGGCCUACUGAAUUACAAGUGAAAAUCAAGUAGACAGAGCAGCUUUUAAGCUUCUGCCCGCCAGCCAAAGCAGCCUUGUUAGCAGGGACACAGCUUCAUGGCAGCAGCAGUGUGCGAAAGCAGCGGGUGUGGGUGCAAGCAGCUUUUGGACCCUUAGCUUCUGGCAGGCCAUUGCUUCUCCCUUGAAAGGUGGUUGUGAAACUCAGAAAGUUUCACUGAAGAAAUUGCUGGUGCAUGAUCUGUAUGGCCUUGAGCAGAGCUUUCCCUGGAGCAAGGUGUUCUCUGGGACAAGCGUCAUCCAUCGCGGUGCUCGCUUACAGCUGAGAUAUUUUUGCUUCUGCAGCUAUUACAGCACGUAACAGUUCAUGGCAGGCAGUAUGGUUUCUUAUAGACAUAGCAAGAAACUGGAGCAGGUUAGACAGCAGUCUGCAAUGGCUUGGCCAAACCCAGGACUACAUGAACUUUCUUACUUGAGGCCUAAAUGUAAGUAUUUCAAGUGUGAUGGACUUAGCAAUCAUCUAAACACAUAUGUGUGUACAUAUACACAAUAUGUAUACCUAUAUACGUAUACACAUACACUCACAUGUAUGUAUACAUACAUGUGAUGGGAGCCAGAUGAAACAACAUGUGGACUUGCACACAAUAUUGUAUACACACAUAAGUGUAUAAUAUGUGUAGAUUAUAUGUGUGUGUGUAUGUAAGUAUACAGGUACACAUGGCUUUCCUGUAGUUCCAACCUGUAUAAAAGUUAAACAUUUUAUAAUCCUAGGCUAUUCAGUAGCCAUAAUUCAUCUCUGUUGCCUAGAGACUGAUCUCAAGAAUGAAACCACACUCAGACUGUCUCUUUCAGGCAGUCUCUUAGACACCCAACACUGAGGCAGAGAUCCUAAUUCCUGAUUUCUGAGACCCCACAUAACUUACCUGUUAGAUACUGAAUACUGAAGUGUGAAUAGCAGUAAUCGCUCCAUGAACUGCAUUCUAAACAGGACUUUUAAUGGUACUUCUCUAGACUCAUACUGAUAAUAGCUGCAAUCUACUCAAAUGUAAACAAAUUUGAUGUAGCACAAGGGAUUUCUUCUGGAAAGAGUUGUGCACUUGUGUCAACCCUGAAAGUGCCAGGCAUUGCCAUGUAAGAUCACCAUGUCCACCUUAAUGGCAAAACCCAUCCUCCUCUUUUUAAAUAGUAAGACUAUAGCUAAAAUGAUUCUCCAGAAGAUCUGUAUGAGAAUCAAGUUUAUGGCUUUUCAACAGUAAUCAGUUCCAGCAUUUCAGAUUUUCUGCCAAGAAAAUGCAAUUUAUUCCUCUUGGGCAUGCAGAAAAAAUAUAUUUUGGAUCAUUUUCCUAAAGAAGGAUGAUUAUGGGACUUCUCUGCCUGUUUGUUACUUCCCUCCUUGCAGUAGCUUUUGAAUCUAAAGCUUAAUUUCAACUGUAUUUAAUGAGCUAUUCUACCCCCAAACUUUGAUAAAAAAUGAUAGCAGGGAAAGGAG